AAAUGGAAAAGCCGGUACAAGCGUAUAGCAGUCAUGCAGGCAAAACCGCAUGAAAAAUGUAAAGCGUUAUGUGGAUCGAACAUUAGUAGAGAAGCGUGUGAGCCAGCUGCCAAGAAAAGCCGCUAUUGUUUCAUAAGUACCCGUACCGUAAACCGACACAGGUGGAUGAGGAGAGAAUCCUAAGGCCGGCGGGAGAAGUGUUGUUAAGGAACUCGGCAAAAUGACUCCGUAACUUCGGGAGAAGGAGUGCCACAGAGAUGUGGCCGCAGAGAAAUGGCCCAAGCAACUGUUUAGCAAAAACACAGGUCUAUGCAAAACCGAAAGGUGAGGUAUAUGGGCUGACGCCUGCCCGGUGCUGGAAGGUUAAGAGGAGAGGUUAGAGCAAUCGAAGCUUCGAAUUUAAGCCCCAGUAAACGGCGGCCGUAACAAUAACGGUCCUAAGGUAGCGAAAUUCCUUGUCGGGUAAGUUCCGACCCGCACGAAAGGCGUAAUGAUUUGGGCACUGUCUCAACAACACACCCGGUGAAAUUGAAAUACCAGUGAAGAUGCUGGUUACCUGCGCCAGGACGGAAAGACCCCAUGGAGCUUUACUCCAGUUUGAUACUGGGAUUCGGUACUGUCUGUACAGGAUAGGUGGGAGGCUAGGAAAUGGUGACGCCAGUUGCCAUGGAGCCAACCUUGGGAUACCACCCUUACAGUACUGGGUUUCUAACCUGCAGCCGUAACCCGGCUGGGGGACAAUGUCUGACGGGGAGUUUGACUGGGGCGGUCGCCUCCGAAAGAGUAUCGGAGGCGCUCAAAGGUUCCCUCAGAACGGUUGGAAACCGUUCGAAGAGUGCAAAGGCAGAAGGGAGCUUGACUGCGACACCGACGGGUGGAGCAGAUACGAAAGUAGGACUUAGUGAUCCGGUGGUAUAAAGUGGGAUUGCCAUCGCUCAACGGAUAAAAGCUACCCUGGGAUAACAGGCUUAUCACUCCCAAGAGUUCACAUCGACGGAGUGGUUUGGCACCUCGAUGUCGGCUCAUCGCAUCCUGGAGCUGUAGCAGGUUCCAAGGGUUGGGCUGUUCGCCCAUUAAAGCGGUACGCGAGCUGGGUUCAGAACGUCGUGAGACAGUUCGGUCCCUAUCCGGCGUGGGCGUAGGAUAUUUGAGAGGAGCUGUCCUUAGUACGAGAGGACCGGGAUGGACAAACCUCUGGUGUAUCUGUUGUUUUACCAAAGGCAUGGCAGAGUAGCCAAGUUUGGCAGGGAUAAACGCUGAAGGCAUCUAAGCGUGAAGCCCCCCUCAAGAUAAGAUAUCCCAUCUUCGGAGUAAGACCCCUUGAAGACUACAAGGUUGAUAGGCUUCAGGUGUAAGUGCGGUAACGCACUCAGCUGAGAAGUACUAAUAGGUCGAGGACUUAU
RNAcentral lists this ribosomal RNA (1403 nucleotides) under metagenome. Its description in RNAcentral is "bacterial LSU rRNA". It matches the Rfam family "Bacterial large subunit ribosomal RNA", at positions 1496 to 2925 of the family's 2925-position model. The record is from RNAcentral.